This 470-nucleotide unclassified non-coding RNA is filed under the name Hevea brasiliensis (rubber tree). The record is from RNAcentral. Lineage: Eukaryota; Viridiplantae; Streptophyta; Magnoliopsida; Malpighiales; Euphorbiaceae.
CCUAGUAGCAGCCUGUAUUUCAGAGAAAGACAUCUUUAACUUGAGAUUCAAACUAGGAACAGGGAAGGAAUUGACAGUUGUUUCCGUUAUCAAACUGUGAGGCCUCCCUCCCCCAGGAGGAACAUCAUCCUUCAGAACCAAAGCUACAACAGGCUUAGCUUUCUUACGUCUCAAAACAAACAGGAACAAGAUUAUCAAAAGGGAAAUCAAAACCACACACCCAACUGGCAAACCAAUUACAAGAACAAGAUGUUUGCUUGGAUGUCCGAGAUGACCCAAAUUCAUGCGUGUGUUUGUCAAAAACUCCAUAAUCUCCACUCCAUUUAGAAAGGCUUUUUUCAUUUCUGAAUCAUUGUUAGGGACUAUACUGAAGUUUAUAUAUCCAGAAUCAUCAGAUUCAAUGACAUAAUCCGCAAAAAAUGGAGCUGCCAAAGUAGCGCCAUUAACUUCGGAAGAAUUAACGAGCUGGC